This 61-nucleotide transfer RNA is filed under the name Calophya schini. RNAcentral's name for it is "tRNA-His". The record is from RNAcentral. Lineage: Eukaryota; Metazoa; Arthropoda; Insecta; Hemiptera; Calophyidae.
UUAAAGUAGUUUAAGAAAAACAUUGAUUUGUGGAGUCAAAGAUUAAAGUUUUACUUUAAUC